GCCGAUUUAGCUCAGUGGUAGAGCAACCGCCUUGUAAGCGGUAGGUCCUCGGUUCAAUCCCGAGAGUCGGCA
Molecule: transfer RNA, 72 nt
Filed under: Ramlibacter sp. Leaf400
Lineage: Bacteria; Pseudomonadati; Pseudomonadota; Betaproteobacteria; Burkholderiales; Comamonadaceae
Rfam family: tRNA
About the family: Transfer RNA (tRNA) molecules are approximately 80 nucleotides in length. Their secondary structure includes four short double-helical elements and three loops (D, anti-codon, and T loops). Further hydrogen bonds mediate the characteristic L-shaped molecular structure. tRNAs have two regions of fundamental functional importance: the anti-codon, which is responsible for specific mRNA codon recognition, and the 3' end, to which the tRNAs corresponding amino acid is attached (by aminoacyl-tRNA synthetases). tRNAs cope with the degeneracy of the genetic code in two manners: having more than one tRNA (with a specific anti-codon) for a particular amino acid; and 'wobble' base-pairing, i.e. permitting non-standard base-pairing at the 3rd anti-codon position.
Source: Rfam by way of RNAcentral